RNAcentral lists this ribosomal RNA (496 nucleotides) under uncultured bacterium. Its description in RNAcentral is "partial 16S ribosomal RNA". It matches the Rfam family "Bacterial small subunit ribosomal RNA", at positions 30 to 523 of the family's 1533-position model. The record is from RNAcentral.
AUUGAACGCUGGCGGAAUGCUUUACACAUGCAAGUCGAACGGUAGAGGGGGCAACCCCUCGAGAGUGGCGAACGGGUGAGUAAUAUAACGGAACGUGCCCAGUCGUGGGGGAUAACGUAGCGAAAGUUACGCUAAUACCGCAUACGAUCUAAGGAUGAAAGCGGGGGACUGCAAGACCUCGCGCGAUUGGAGCGGCCGAUAUCAGAUUAGGUAGUUGGUUGGGUAAAGGCUCACCAAGCCAACGAUCUGUAGCUGGUCUGAGAGGACGACCAGCCACACUGGAACUGAGACACGGUCCAGACUCCUACGGGAGGCAGCAGUGGGGAAUUUUGGACAAUGGACGCAAGUCUGAUCCAGCCAUUCCGCGUGCAGGAUGAAGGCCCUCGGGUUGUAAACUGCUUUUGUACGGAACGAAAAGGUCUCUCUUAAUACGGGGGACUCAUGACGGUACCGUAAGAAUAAGCACCGGCUAACUACGUGCCAGCCGCCGCGGUAA